CCUACGGGUGGCAGCAGUGAGGAAUAUUGGUCAAUGGCCGGAAGGCUGAACCAGCCAAGCAGCGUGAAGGACGAAGGUGCCACGCAUUGUAAACUUCUUUUGUCAAGGGACAAAAUCAGGCUCGAGAGCCUGACCGAGGGUACUUGAAGAAAAAGCAUCGGCUAACUCCGUGCCAGCAGCCGCGGUAAUACGGAGGAUGCGAGCGUUAUCCGGAUUUAUUGGGUUUAAAGGGUGCGUAGGGGGGCUGUUAAGUCAGGCGGAAAAGCCCGGGGCUCAACCCCCGGAUGGCCGUUGAAACUGGCUGUCUUGAGAUGUCGAGAGGUAUGCGGAAUGCGCAGUGUAGCGGUGAAAUGCUUAGAUAUUGCGCAGAACUCCGAUUGCGAAGGCAGCAUACCGGCGGCGAUCUGACGCUGAGGCACGAAAGCGUGGGUAUCGAACAGGAUUAGAUACCCCUGUAGUC
RNAcentral lists this ribosomal RNA (460 nucleotides) under uncultured bacterium. RNAcentral describes it as "partial 16S ribosomal RNA". It matches the Rfam family "Bacterial small subunit ribosomal RNA", at positions 338 to 795 of the family's 1533-position model. The record is from RNAcentral.